UCAUCUUCUUCAAUAUUAAUGAUAUUUUUAACUUUGUUUUUGAAUUUGUCUCUUUUCGUUCUAAUUUUAUCUAAAUCGACACUUCUUCUAGUCUUACGUGCAUAUUCUGUUGUCUUAUCUUGAAGUUG
This 128-nucleotide small RNA is filed under the name Staphylococcus lugdunensis. Its description in RNAcentral is "Staphylococcus sRNA sau-59". It matches the Rfam family "Staphylococcus sRNA sau-59". The record is from RNAcentral. Lineage: Bacteria; Bacillati; Bacillota; Bacilli; Caryophanales; Staphylococcaceae.